RNAcentral lists this unclassified non-coding RNA (332 nucleotides) under soil metagenome. RNAcentral's name for it is "partial contains 5.8S ribosomal RNA, internal transcribed spacer 2, and large subunit ribosomal RNA". The stretch from base 1 to 120 matches the Rfam family "5.8S ribosomal RNA", at positions 35 to 154 of the family's 154-position model. The record is from RNAcentral.
GAUGAAGAACGUAGCGAAAUGCGAUAAGUAAUGUGAAUUGCAGAAUUCAGUGAAUCAUCGAAUCUUUGAACGCACAUUGCGCCCGCUAGUAUUCUGGCGGGCAUGCCUGUUCGAGCGUCAUUUCAACCAUCAAGCCCUGUUUAGGCUUGUGUUGGGGCCCUGCGGUUGCCGCAGCCCCCUAAAUGCAGUGGCGGGCUCGUUGUCACUCCGAGCGCAGUAGCGUAUCUCGCUCUGGGCGUGGCGGCGGGUGCUAGCCGUGAAACACCCACUCAGGUUGACCUCGGAUCAGGUAGGAAUACCCGCUGAACUUAAGCAUAUCAAUAAGCGGAGGA